GGGAACAUGUGGUUUAAUUCGAUGAUACGCGAGGAACCUUACCUGGGCUUAAAUGGGGAGUGACAGCUGUCGAAAGAUGGUUUUCUUCGGACACUCUUCAAGGUGCUGCAUGGUUGUCGUCAGCUCGUGCCGUGAGGUGUCGGGUUAAGUCCCAUAACGAGCGCAACCCUUACCGUUAGUUACCAUCAGGUUAAGCUGGGGACUCUAGCGGGACUGCCACCGUAAGGUGAGAGGAAGUGGGGAUGACGUCAAAUCAGCACGGCCCUUAUGUCCAGGGCUACACACGUGUUACAAUGGCCAGUACAAAGGGCAGCUACCGGGUGACCGGAUGCUAAUCUCUAAAGCUGGUCUCAGUUCGGAUCGAAGUCUGCAACCCGACUUCGUGAAGCUGGAUUCGCUAGUAAUCGCGCAUCAGCCAUGGCGCGGUGAAUACGUUCCCGGGCCUU
This 446-nucleotide ribosomal RNA is filed under the name uncultured Sphingobacteriales bacterium. RNAcentral's name for it is "bacterial SSU rRNA". It matches the Rfam family "Bacterial small subunit ribosomal RNA", at positions 933 to 1382 of the family's 1533-position model. Lineage: Bacteria; Pseudomonadati; Bacteroidota; Sphingobacteriia; Sphingobacteriales. The record is from RNAcentral.